RNAcentral lists this transfer RNA (73 nucleotides) under Dolosicoccus paucivorans. It matches the Rfam family "tRNA". Rfam says of the family: Transfer RNA (tRNA) molecules are approximately 80 nucleotides in length. Their secondary structure includes four short double-helical elements and three loops (D, anti-codon, and T loops). The record is from Rfam by way of RNAcentral. Lineage: Bacteria; Bacillati; Bacillota; Bacilli; Lactobacillales; Aerococcaceae.
GGUUCUUUAGCUCAGUUGGGAGAGCACCAGCUCGACAAGCUGGGGGUCGUAGGUUCGAGCCCUACAAGGACCA